This 92-nucleotide transfer RNA is filed under the name Candidatus Stercoripulliclostridium pullicola. RNAcentral's name for it is "tRNA-Ser". It matches the Rfam family "tRNA". From Rfam's summary of the family: Transfer RNA (tRNA) molecules are approximately 80 nucleotides in length. Their secondary structure includes four short double-helical elements and three loops (D, anti-codon, and T loops). Lineage: Bacteria; Bacillati; Bacillota; Clostridia; Eubacteriales. The record is from RNAcentral.
GGAGAGAUGUCCGAGAUGGCCUAAGGAGCACGAUUGGAAAUCGUGUAUACCUCCAAAGGGUAUCGUGGGUUCGAAUCCCACUCUCUCCGCCA